CAAAAAACAAAAAAAACACCGUAACGGUGGCCGUCAGUUUGGUGCUUUCUGUUUUUAAGGGUCAAAAGGGAUCAGGAGGAGUGGAACAGGUGCAGAGAAGCUGAAGGCUGAACAAGGGGCAGUUUGGGGAAAGCAGAGGGGACGGGGAAGAGAAUCUGGGGAAGGAAGCCCAGGGCAACGAAGGGAGAGGGCGAGGCUACAAUAUAAGCGAGAGGUUCAGGAAACAAACUAAAAAUGUGGGGAUGGAAUUAAUUAAGAGUUCAUGGAGGAAGUCAAAAGCUGAGAUGCAGCAAGACGCAUAAUUGCCCUUGCCUUUUGCUGCGCUUCCUCACGGGGCUGUUUCUGUCAGAAUCCCUGGCAGACAAAGGAAGCGGGGCCAGGAAAAUUCUCAUGAAUAAUUGUAAUUGGGUAGGAACGUUUUCUUCCCGUCGCUUGCCCAAGUCUAGAGUUUAAGAAAUUAACUGAUCAUCAACAGCGUUUCAUUGUCACACACCCACUGAGCGGUUCCCCCGUACUCUUUCCGACCUGUUUCAUCUAUGUGUGUUUCCCACCUAUAUUUGUAGGGCUCCCCCCAGGCGUUAAUUCAGUGGCGGUGGCAGUGAUGAACUAGCCACGAGGAGCUCGUGGCUGCUAUAUGGCAAACACAGGUCUGGAGUUCACGGGCGAUGUGUCCAGGCUGGAGAGAUGAAUUUGGGAGUUAGACAUGUCUGGAGGGAGCUUACAAGACCAGACGAGGGAGGCCGUGUAGAUUGAGGGGAGAAGCAGUUGGGCAACCGAGCACUGAGGCGGUGCCGUGUCGAAGGGCCAAGGAGGCAAAGAGGAAACAAAAAUGGGGAGGGAACAGCCAGAAAGGGAAGAGGAAAGACCGAAGAAGGUGGUCUCCUGGAUGCCAAGGGAAGAAAGAGGGGAGCAGUCCCCGGUGCCAGAUGGUGCAGAGGGGUUGGGCAAGGGAAGUGCGCUGACCCACUAGACUCAGCAGGUGAUGACCGGUGACCAUGACAAGGGCAGUGUGGCAAGCGAUAAAGCUGCAGGAGAAAAUGAUGAGGGAGCAGAGCAGAGACCAGUCUCCAGAGGAGCUUUGCCGAGGAAAACGGCAGAAAAAGGGAGCAGACGCUAGAGGAGAAAGUAAAGUCCAGAGAAUUUGGUUGUUUUUGAGGCGCGUGAAAUAACCCUGCGCUAUGGGGCUGUUGGGGAAGUUUUAGUAAAACAAUAAGAGAGAGAGAGAGAAAGAAGAGGGGUUUGCACUGUGUUGUCUCUCAGCAGAUGAGAGAAAAUAAGAUGUAGCACACUGAUGGGGAGGCAAGUUCAGACGGGAGGUGGACAGUUGGUCUCGGGAUGGAAGAGCAGGUGAAGAACAUUGGGCCCAGGAGCAGGUGGGUGGUGCAAGCGUGUGCAGCGUCAGUUUGUAUCGCUGACGUCAUUUUCGGGGGCUUCAGCCCUGUGAGAGCGAGGCGGGGGAGGAAGCGCUGGAGGUUUGGAAGGCGGAGAGAGAGAAGGUAGAAGAUCGAGAACGGAGAUGGGAACUUAGAAUGAUCGCUGGGCAGCAGGAGGGCCCAGCUGAAGCCCGUGGUCUUGCUUUUGAAGCGAGAGCAGUCAGCAGGGUUUUGCUUCCCAAGGCCGUGUUCAGCCCUGCUGGUGUGGUCGCAGAGUCGGGGAGGGCUAGAUUUAGCAAGGUAGGGCUUUGCAGGAAAUACAUCAAGAGGGGAGGGCGGGGCCUGGGAACCAAGGGGGUAUCCGAGCGCUGGAUGAUGGUCUUGACAUGGAUGUUGGUACUUAACAUAGGGGGCCCUGGGCUGUCAGCUGGAAGUACACCCCGAGGCGGGGAGUGAGGGAUGGGAAUAGGCGGCAGGAUCUGUGCAUGGGAGGUUGUGAUUGGAUUUAAGACUCACUGGGGCUGGGAAAUGGUAGUUGGACUGUGGGAGAGUCAUGGAGGGUGGUGGCACUAUUGAUAAUGACAGUGUACCUGAAGUAGGAUGGGAAAAAGACUGCGGGCAGAGAGGGGUCAAGGAACGGAGGUAGUGUUAGGAACGGGAGUGUUGACGUCAGUCAUCUGUGUGGAUAUUGCAGUCGGACCGUGGGAACAGUGUUGGAGACGGUGAGAAGCAAGAUAGUCCAGAAGAGGAAAGAAUUGGCAGGGGUGGCGGUGGUCUAUAGAUGGUUGCAACAAGGAGGGCUUUGUGGUGGUGGGGCGCACUGGGCGGGGGGCACGCUUGGAAAGGAGGAGGAAAGAAGAGGCAUCCAGAAAAGGCAGUGAGACACAAGCAGGACGCUUAGGAUGAGUAAGAGGAAGCAGCCAGCCCCUGAGCUGGCUUCGAGGAAGCUGUGUCCCCAGGAGAGAGGCUGGUUUCAGUGAGCACAAGAAGGUAAGAGGGAUGAUCAGAGAAGAGGUUGAAGACACCGGGGCAUGUAUUGAUGACGGGCAAAGAGUGCUUGUCUUCUGUAAAGCUUCCUGGUUCUCCUCUUACUCCCUCACCCCUGUCGUAAUACCCUCCUAGAGGAAUGAUGCUUUUAUAGUCUAAACCAGAUCAUGUCAUUCCCCAGGUUAAAACCUGCACAGUCUUUCUCUCUUAGAAGCCAGUCUGACUGUCUUACUGCCAGGACCUGCAUACAUCAUCUGACCCUUCCAUGGUUCUCAUGCCUCUCUCUCCUCGGUUCACUCUACCCCACUGCGCUUUCUUUCUGACUUAGGAAUAUGUCGGCACGUUCCCACCUCUGGUACUUUUGCCCUUGUUGUUUCCUCAGUCUAGAAUAUUUUUCCCCAGAUCUUUCCAUGGCUGGCUCCUUCCUGAUCAUCCAGUUGGAAGUGGCCUCACCUCACUCAUAAUCACCUGUUUUAUUUUCAUCAUGGUCCCAUCAGUGUCUGAAAUGAUCUUAUGUCUCUGCUUUUCUUUUUAAAAUGUGGGUUCCAUGAACAUAGGUACCUUGUCUGUCUUGUUCACUACUAUAUCCCCAGAGUCUAGAACAGUGCCCGACACAUCGUAGGUGCUCAAAAAAUAUAUGUUAAGUGAAUGAAGUAGAUUUUUAAAAGUUUUUUACUGUUUGCUUAUUUUUGAAAGAGAGACAGAGCAUGAAUAGGGGAGGGGCAGAAGGAGGGUGACACAGAAUCCAAAGCAGGCUCCAUCCAGGCUCUGAGUUGUCAGCACAGAGCCUGAUGCAGGGCUUGAACUCACAAACCAUGAGAUCAUGACCUGAGCUAAAGUCGGAUGCUUAACCAACUGAGCCACCCAUGCACCCUGUGAAUGAAGUAGAUUGCGUGAUUGAGGAGCUCUGUCAGUGGCAGGUUGAGACUUACGCAUGAAGUAAUAUAGAACAUUCUAGACUGAUGGUCCUUCCCAGCCACAUCAGAUCACUCAGUUUCAGACUGGCUUCAUUCUGGCCUAAGACGAAAUAAAACUAAGCCUCAGAUCUGUGACUCAUAUUGAGUUCCCAGUACCAUUCAAAAUUAGGAAUUCUAAAGGGGGAUGUUUUCUUAUAACUGUAGAGCAUCCCACUGUGUUUAUUUUAAAUGUCACAGAUUUAUUUAGAAAAAUAAUUUAUUUUCUCUUUUGAGAAGGUUGAGCUUUCUUGCAUAUGUGUCUAGAAAAUGGAUUUGUUGAGAGCGGGGGGUGGGCAAGGAAACUAUCUUAACUUCCUUUUGAUCGGGUGUUAAGAAUAGGCAUCCAGUGGAAGCAGAUAAAAAGCAAUUAGAUAAACAAUGAGCUCUAAAAAGUCUAGUAUUUUAUUGUUGGAACCUCAAAUCCAACCUGCGCUGAAUUUGUGUGUGUGGGCGGAAAGUGAAUUUUUGCAGGCUGAGUAUCUGGGGUUUGGAAGCAGUUUCUCAGUUUCUCCCAUAUUGCAAAGCAUAGCACAUGUGUUCAGUUACGGGUUUCCACAAAACUGGCAAUCCUGAACCAAUGAACGAGUGAGGUUCCAAAAGUUCAUUUGCAAGUUUGUUUGGCACUCAGAAUGCAUUUUCCCAUAGAAACAAUGCCAUAAAUUAAGGACUCAGUCCCAAGGCAGCCCACAAAAUUCAAUUUAUUUAAUUUCAACAAAUAUUUAUCGAAUAUCCACCAAGAGCCCCAUGUGGCAAGUGAGCUAGCUAGAGGCUAUGGAGGGAAAUCGGAUGCCAUUCUUGGCCUUCAGGAACUCACAUGCAAGCUAGGGAGACAGCCGUGUCAACAGCCAACACUGAUUCAGUCAUAUGUCCAGUUGACGAGUAUUUAUUGAGCACCUAUGACGUGAUAAGGCCUGUGCUAGGUACUCGGGUUAUAGUUCUUUCUUGCCUACACAGAGCCUGCAGUCUAGUGAGGGAUGUAGACAAUACUCCGGUGAUGCUGCAUUGACCAAUUCUUCCUAAAAGAAAGAAUUGGAAGAAAAAAGCAUUUGUUUUUCUUGCUCAUGGGUCAGCUCCAGUGGGGUGGGGUCGGGAUGCCCUCUGCCUCAAGCUGCAGGUUGAGAGGAUUGAUUCAGGUCUUCUUCACACAUCUCUCAUCCAAUGCACACUGUUCUCAAGGUAGACCGCAGAAGUACAAGAGCCAUGCUAAACUAUGCAUCACAUUUGUCACCUUGGCUCAUGUCAUGUUUGCUGAUACUCCACUGGCGAGCACACCACAUAGCCAAGCCCAAUGUCACUGGGGUAAGGAAAUCUACCCCACCUACUGUCGUGCAAGGGAGCCAAAGGUUAUGGAUGCGUCAUUCCAGUGCAGCAGAUAACUGAGGCGUUGAGCGCAAUAAUCUGGUCAGUCUUGACAAGUAAAAGAGUUACCAUUUUACCAAUAGGUAGAUAGAGUAUCAUGAAGGUUAGCCCAGAGGCAGUGGAGGAUUCCAUGGGGGCACAUGAACAUCUAACCCAAACUAAGGGAAGGUUGGGGUGCCUGGGUGGCUCAGUUGGUUGAGCGUCCGACUCUUGAUUUUGGCUCAGCUCGUGAUCCCAGGGUCAUGGAAUCAAGCCCUGAGUUGGGCUCCGUGCUGAGUGUGGAGCCUGCUUAAGAUUCCCUCCCCCUGCCCCUCUCUCCUGCUCAUGCUCUCUCUUGCUCUCUCUCUCUCUAAAAAAAAAAUUAAAUAAAUAAUACUAAUAAGUAAGGGAAGGUUUGCUGGAGGAGGGAAUAUCUAAGCUGAAGUUGAGCUGUGAGCAGAUAUCAGCCAGGUAGAGCAGAGGCAGGUGACUGGCCGAGGGAACAGGUGUAUCGAGGCCAGUUGCUGUAAGAGCACCGGUUGUGCUCAAUACAGUUGGAGCACACAGUCUGGCGGGGGUUGUUGAGAUACUUGGUGGCUUGGUAGGCAGGAGUGGCCGAGCACUGGCCUUACAAGCCAUGUUGAAAAAUGUGCAUUUUCUCGUAAGGACUUUUGGGAACUAUUGCAGAGCUUCAAUUAGAAGAGUGACCAGAUCAGCUGUGGGUUUUAGAAUAAGCGUCCUAGCGCAGGAUAGCCUGGAAACGAUCUGCUGGACACUGGCAGAUCACUUAGAAGGUGGUUGUAAACCGGCAAGAGACUGGGGUCCGAUGGCAGAGCUAAGUCUCGGAAGGUGCAGUGAGGCAAGCUACUGCUCUUUUCCCAGCAACACCAUAACCUCGGUGUUGAGAUGACAAGGGAAGGGGUAUGGGCAUCUGGCUUGGGUGACCAGAUGGACAGGGGUGUCACUGCCGAACAGGAAUGUAGGAGGGGUAGCCUGUUCGGGAUGCCCAGCAAUGCAGGGGGUGGCUUCCACUCUGGCAGCAGAGGAGGAAGAGUGCAGGUCCUGGAGGCAGCCUGCUUGGGAUUGAAUCUAGGCUUCUUUGUGACCUGCAGGUUCCUUGUCUUCUCUGGGUCAAAUCUCUUCCACAAAGUAGGGCUAGUAGUACCUCACAGGGUGGCUGAGAAGAUCCAAUCAGAUAAUGUUCAUAAAGCCCCAGGCACAGCGCCUGGCUCUUAGUAAGCACUCAAGUAACAUUAGCCAUUGCGAUGGUGGAAGCCCAGAGGAGGGAGCCAUUCGUUGUAACCAAGGUUGGUGAAGGCUUCAGACAGGAAGUGGCAUUAAAAUUAGGCCUGGAAGCCUGAAUGAACUUUCACCAAGGGAAGAGAGAGUGGAAGGCAUUUCAGGUAGAGGAUCCAGCAUAGGGAGAGGUCUUUUGAGGGAGCGGCAGAUUGGAUAUUACCCCCAGAGCACUGGUUCUGGAAGGCAAGAAGGGGAUGGGGCAUUGGGUGGGACCAGGAUGUGAAGGACUCUGAGUUUGGACUUGAUUCGGGGUGCUGGGAACCUGGUAAAGGAUUUUCAGCAGAGGAUUGACAUGAUCAUAUUUGUGUUUUAAAAAGAUUAUCCUGGGGCGCCUGGGUGGCUUGGUCGGUUAAGCGUCCAACUUCGGCUCAGGUCAUGAUCUCACGGUCUGUGAGUUCGAGCCCUGCGUCGGGCUCUGUGCUGACAGCUCAGAGCCUGGAGCCUGUUUCAGAUUCUGUGUCUCCCUCUCUCUCUGCCCCACCCCUGUUCAUGCUCU
Long non-coding RNA from Panthera uncia (snow leopard), 6449 nucleotides. RefSeq lists it as uncharacterized. Lineage: Eukaryota; Metazoa; Chordata; Mammalia; Carnivora; Felidae. The transcript is spliced from 2 exons. The record is from RefSeq and is a predicted model, not a curated record.